UACGUAGGGGGCAAGCGUUGUCCGGAAUUAUUGGGCGUAAAGCGCGCGUAGGCGGCUCGAUCAGUCUGCUGUGAAAGUCAAAGGCUCAACCUUUGAAUGCCGGUGGAUACUGUCGAGCUAGAGUCCGGAAGAGGCGAGUGGAAUUCCUGGUGUAGCGGUGGAAUGCGCAGAUAUCAGGAGGAACACCAACGGCGAAGGCAGCUCGCUGGGACGGUACUGACGCUAAGGCGCGAAAGCGUGGGGAGCGAACAGG
RNAcentral lists this ribosomal RNA (253 nucleotides) under uncultured bacterium. RNAcentral describes it as "partial 16S ribosomal RNA". It matches the Rfam family "Bacterial small subunit ribosomal RNA", at positions 524 to 776 of the family's 1533-position model. The record is from RNAcentral.